This 49-nucleotide ribosomal RNA is filed under the name Acidoton microphyllus. RNAcentral describes it as "partial 18S ribosomal RNA". It matches the Rfam family "Eukaryotic small subunit ribosomal RNA", at positions 1 to 49 of the family's 1831-position model. The record is from RNAcentral. Lineage: Eukaryota; Viridiplantae; Streptophyta; Magnoliopsida; Malpighiales; Euphorbiaceae.
UACCUGGUUGAUCCUGCCAGUAGUCAUAUGCUUGUCUUAAAGAUUAAGC